Molecule: microRNA precursor, 99 nt
Filed under: Cercocebus atys (sooty mangabey)
Lineage: Eukaryota; Metazoa; Chordata; Mammalia; Primates; Cercopithecidae
Description: miRNA (ENSCATG00000018997.1)
Source: RNAcentral
UGAGGCAGGAGAAUUGCUUGAACCCAGGAAGUGGAGGUUGCAGUGAGCCGAGAUCACGCCACUGCACUCCAGCCUGGGUGAUAAAGCAAGACUCCAUCU